GAUCACCGUGUCCAAUACAAUUGGACACGGUGAUCCAUUCACCGUGUCCAAUACAUUUGUAUUGGACACGGUGAAUGGUUUACCGUGUCCAA
This is a regulatory RNA element of Ananas comosus (pineapple), 92 nucleotides long. It matches the Rfam family "SAM-Chlorobi RNA". The record is from Rfam. NCBI's taxonomy places the organism in Eukaryota, Viridiplantae, Streptophyta, Magnoliopsida, Poales, Bromeliaceae.